CACCUACCAGAGUGCAGUCUUUUAACAUAACCUAAACGUGCUGUCACAGUGAUCCAGUAGUGCAGGCGUAGACGAAAUGUCCCGAAGCAUAUGAAAAUAGUUCAGCAAUCCACAGCGUCGUUUGCUGGGCUGCUGUAUACAGCAGAUUAAGUUUACGAAGGCAGCCGAGCCGCAGUUAUGGCCAAGAGAGAGAACGGGCAGUCCCACCGUUUACAUGAAACUACCUAUCCUCACCGGGGUUACCGGCGACGUAUGAGAAAGGACUUUUCAUUUCGAUCCUCACACGCAACUGGCUCCAGUUCUCUUUUUUUUUUCUUACCUAUUCUGAGUGACAUGUGUCAACUGUGUCAACUGUGUCGAUUGUGCGAAGCAACUGUACACGUUUUAUAAAUCGCAACUAAUACUCAAGAAAGAAGAGGACAAUCGAAUCUACCAAGGCCCGGGGAUUCGUAACGGGACAAUGUCUUAUAAUUGGAGGUAUUAAGCCGACCGGAAGCUGUGAAUUCAAUGAUUCCCAGGAGACCCACACUUACUGUCAACCAUUCAAAAAUACAUUCCCCUCACCGAUU
Molecule: long non-coding RNA, 569 nt
Organism: Cephus cinctus (wheat stem sawfly)
Lineage: Eukaryota; Metazoa; Arthropoda; Insecta; Hymenoptera; Cephidae
Exons: 2
Source: RefSeq, a predicted model, not a curated record